Molecule: ribosomal RNA, 486 nt
Filed under: uncultured bacterium
Lineage: Bacteria
Description: partial 16S ribosomal RNA
Rfam family: Bacterial small subunit ribosomal RNA
Source: RNAcentral
AUUGAACGCUGGCGGCAUGCCUUACACAUGCAAGUCGAACGGCAGCACGGGUGCUUGCACCUGGUGGCGAGUGGCGAAGGGGUGAGUAAUACAUCGGAACAAGUCCUGUAGUGGGGGAUAGCCCGGCGAAAGCCGGAUUAAUACCGCAGACGAUCUACGGAUGAAAGCGGGGGACCUUCUGGCCGCGCGCUAUGCGGUUGGCCGAUAGCUGAUUAGCUAGUUGGUGGGGUAAAGGCCUACCAAGGCGACGAUCAGUAGCUGGUCUGAGAGGACGACCAGCCACACUGGAACUGAGACACGGCCCAGACUCCUACGGGAGGCAGCAGUGGGGAAUUUUGGACAAUGGGCGAAAGCCUGAUGCAGCAAUGCCGCGUGUGUGAAGAAGGUCUUCGGGUCGUAAAGCACUGUUGUUAGGAAAGAACAACUUUGUUAUAAUCCAGGCGCGGGUUGACGGUACCGGAAGAAUAAGCACCGGCUAACUACGUG